ACAGACCCGAAAUAAUAUAGCCCGGCGUAAAACACGACCAAAAUAUAGUCUAACAAUUAGAGAAGAACUCAACCGGGCUGUAAAAAGCCAUAAGCCACAAUAACCAAUAACUCUAACAACCGACAACUUCCACUCGUGAAAGCUAGGACACAAACUAAGAUUAGAUACCUUACUAUGCCCAGCCAUAACACAACAAUAAAAUUACCAAUUGUUCGCCAAAUAACUACGAGUAGUAACUUAAAAUUUAAAAGACUUGACGGUACCUCACACCAACCUAGAGGAGCCUGUUCAAUAACCGAUACUCCACGAUCAACCCAACCCCACCUAGCCCACAGUCUAUAUACCGCCGUCGCCAGCCUACCUUAUGAAAGAAGUAUAGUAAGCGCAAUAGCCACACGCUAAAACGACAGGUCGAGGUGUAACUUAUGGUGAGGACCAGAAUGGGCUACAUUUUCCAUCAGAACAUACGAACAAACUAUGAAACAAGAAACUGAAGGCGGAUUUAGCAGUACAUUGGGAACAAAACACCCAAUAGAAACUUGAAAUGAGGUGCGUACACACCGCCCGUCAUCCCUGUCAAACAUACCAAAAUAUACAUAAACCACAACACACCCACUAAG
This 620-nucleotide ribosomal RNA is filed under the name Telescopus pulcher. RNAcentral's name for it is "partial small subunit ribosomal RNA". Lineage: Eukaryota; Metazoa; Chordata; Lepidosauria; Squamata; Colubridae. The record is from RNAcentral.